Molecule: ribosomal RNA, 1513 nt
Filed under: metagenome
Description: bacterial SSU rRNA
Rfam family: Bacterial small subunit ribosomal RNA
Source: RNAcentral
AGAGUUUGAUCAUAGCUCAGGAUUAACGUUGGUAGUAUAUCUAACAAAAGCAAGUCGAACGGCAGCACACUGUUUGGGCAACUGAAUAGGGGUGGCGAGUGGCGAAUAGGUGAGUAAUGCUUAUCUAACUUGCCGAUUAGUGGGGAAUAACCAUGGGAAACUAUGGCUAAUACCGCAUUUGUUACUUUUUUGUCAUAAGAAGUAAUAAAAGGGGGUCGCAAGACUCUUGCUAGUCGAGAGGGAUAAGUCGCAUCAGCCGAUGAAAGUAGGGUAAUGGCCUACUGAGGCAAUGACGCGUAGCCGGCCUGAGAGGGUGAUCGGCCACCGAGGAACUGAGACAAAGUCCUCCAUUCCUGUGGGAGUGAGCAUUGGAGAAUCUUCCGCAAUGGACGCAAGUCUGACGGAGUAAUACUACGUGAAGGAGGAAGGUCUACGGAUUGUAAACUUCUGUUAGUGCGGAAAAAGGGCUGAACACGAGUUCAGUCUUGAUGGUACGCACAGAGAAAGCCACGACUAACUACGUGCCAGCGGUCGCGGUAAGACGUAGGUGGCGAACGUUAUCCGGAAUUAUUGGGCGUAAAGGGUGCGUAGAUGGUCGAAUAAGUUAGUAGUGGGAAAUCGAGGCCUAACCUCGUGGAAACUAUUAAUACUAUUCGACUGGAGGAUAGGAGAGGUUGACGGAACUCCAUGUGGAGCGGUAAAAUGCAACGAUAUAUGGAAGAACGCCAAUAACGGCGAAGGCAGUUAACUAUUCUGUUCCUGACAUUGAGGCACGAAAGCGUGGGGAGCGAAAAGGAUUAGAUACCCUUGUAGUCCACGCCCUAAACGAUGAGUGCUAGAUAUUGGACCAAUCGGUUCAGUGUCGCUAGAUAACUCGGUAAGCACUCCGCCUGGGUAGUACGCUCGCAAGAGUAAAACUCAAAGGAAUUGACGGGGACUCGCACAAGCACUGGAGCAUGUGGUUUAAUCCGAUACAACGCUUAGAACCUUACCAAGGCUUGACAUUGGGGGACAAAGUUAUCGAAAGGUAAUAGAGGUUGAACCUGACAGGUGCUGCAUGGCCGUCGUCAGUUCGUGCCGUGAGGUGUAUGGUUAAGUCCUAUAACGAACGCAACCCUUGGGCUUAGUUACCAGCGGGUCAAGCCGGGGACUCUAAGCCGACUGCCUGAGUAAUCAGGAGGAAGGAAAGGAUGACGUCUGGUCGUCAUGGCCCUUAUGCCUUGGGCGACACACGUGCUACAAUGGUUAGCACAAAGCGUUGCCAACCCGCGAGGGGGAGCCAAUCGCAGAAAACUAACCUUAGUUCGAAUUGGAGGCUGCAACUCGCCUCCAUGAAGCCGGAAUUGCUAGUAAUCGCAAAUCAGCCAUGUUGCGGUGAAUACGUUCUCGAGUCUUGUACACACCGCCCGUCAAAUCACGAAAAUCGGUACUAUCUGAAACCAACUUACUAACCCGCAAGGGAUGGAGUUGACUAGGAUAGGAUUGGUAAUUGGGGUUAAGUCGUAACAAGGUA